AAUCCUGUUAUCCGAGCCCAGAGCCCAAAGCAAGGGCAGCUGAUCGCCUGACCCCUCUGCAUUCUCCAGCACGGAAUGAAGACAGGCAAUCACAACACGCCGGACAAUGGGAAGGGCGGCCCAGCUUGCAGGGUGGCACCUCUUUUCCUCUCUCCCCUAGAAACCAAACAUUGCAAGCUCUCUAAAGAAAGCAGUUUGGCACCUGGGGGGCAGAGCCAACAGUCUGGGGUGGGGCUGUGGGAGGAGUUUAGAAGUUUGGGAGUGGAGCUCAGCACAAAAGCUGAGCCACGCUCCCCAAAAGCAGAAGCAAACAGAAGCCCAACUGGUGCAGCAGACUGUGCCAACUCACCAAUCCAGCUAAUAUUGUCUACACGGACCGGCAGUAACCCUCCCGGGUUUCAGACAUGGAAUCUCUCCCAAUCCUACUCGAAGAUGCCAAGGAUUGAACCUGAGACCUUCUGCAUGCAAGAUUGGAAGCCGGAGGACAGUGGUCAUGUUAUUACUGAUCUUUGCAAGCUGCUCUGGGAAGCUCCUUUGGCUGAAGAGGAGAAGACUUUAACUAAUUAAAUCUUUGGGGGCUUCAACAGAAACUGUGCUCAGCUUGGCUUGGCUCAAACUUUGAGGGUAACUGCACUGGCAGUUGGAAGACCUGCUGGCUCUGUCAGAAGGGAGCAUGAAGAUGAGGGUUUGUAGAUUUUUCACAUCAAAUAGAAGGAAAAUGUUGGGUUCCCCCUCAAGUUUGCCACUUCCUUCAAGCAUGAAGGAAGGGAAUUAUUCUUCUCAUAUCCCUCAAAUCUUUUGCCAGAGUCUGAAAUUAAAAUUUCAUGUAUUGAUUUAUUUAAGAUGCUUGCAUACUGCUUUUCUUAAGCUCAGAGUGGUUUACACGAGAAUAGAACAAUAUUUAAAAUCACAUAAAAGAUAAAAAAAAGCUCAAUAAUGAUUCGGAUUUUACAAACUCUGUUAAGAAACACCCACCCUGCUAGAAUCCCAAUAUGGGCUGUGUGGAAACAUCCAGCUGGUUGUAGGAAAAAAAAAAGGGGGGGCAUGAUUGUCUGGCUGGAGCAUUUUACACUGCAACAUUUUGUUACAGGCUCCAAUUCUUCAUGUGUUGUUCAUAUGCUCAUUCAUGGGAAGCGGCUGGCCUCAAUGAGAUGCUGGCUGAUGGCACAACCUGGACAAAAUGUGUCCAAACUCUAAUCUUGUGUGUGGGUGUUUCACAUGAAGAAGGGGUGCCCAUAAUCAAACAUUAGUCGGGCUGGUUGAUUUCAGGAUGCACACCCAAUGCCUAUACCCAAACCUGCUGACAUCUGUGAUCGAUAAAGUUGUGGCCUGUUUCAAUCCCAGUACUGCUGUCCUGUGUUUUAUCACAACUAAUAUGAUGUUCAGCCCUCACCUUGCCUGCAGCUUCACCAGGUCUGGACCUGCAAGUCCAGAAUUAAUUUGAGAAAAUUCACUAAAUUAAACUGGAAUUCAAAAGGAGUGGAAGGCAGGACAGGGGUCUUCUGCAGAUGCCCUUUGUUUAUUGGGCACUUGUGAAGAUCUGUGCUCAUGAAGGUAUUGGGGCGGUUAUGCCUCAUCCCACUUCCGAUGCUGCUUACAUCUACAAAAAGUGUUAGGAUGGACAUGCAGUUCUAUUUUCCAUCUGUGUCCUGUAACAGCCUGCUGAAAUCUUUGUAGCUUUUUAAUGCCACAAACGUACCAAUUUAUUUUUUUGUAAUAGAACAAAGCGAGACUCCCUCCGGAUCACAAUCUUGUGGAAAUGUUGGGGAAGCGUCACACUGCAACCAAAAAUGGGGAAUGAUUAUGUGGAUGGUCCUUUUCAAUCUGCUCCUAGCAUGCUAUUAACGGGUCAAUGACAUGUAGGACAACACACAAACAAACAAACAAACAAACAAACAAACAAACAAACAAAC
Podarcis muralis (Common wall lizard) is the source of this 1913-nucleotide non-coding RNA. Lineage: Eukaryota; Metazoa; Chordata; Lepidosauria; Squamata; Lacertidae. The record is from RefSeq and is a predicted model, not a curated record.